GGCUAAGUAGUUCAGUGGCAUAGUAGGAGAAUCAUAAUUUCUCAGUCGCGGGUUCAAAUCCCUCCUUAGCCA
Molecule: transfer RNA, 72 nt
Organism: Ehrlichia chaffeensis str. Arkansas
Lineage: Bacteria; Pseudomonadati; Pseudomonadota; Alphaproteobacteria; Rickettsiales; Anaplasmataceae
Rfam family: tRNA
About the family: Transfer RNA (tRNA) molecules are approximately 80 nucleotides in length. Their secondary structure includes four short double-helical elements and three loops (D, anti-codon, and T loops). Further hydrogen bonds mediate the characteristic L-shaped molecular structure. tRNAs have two regions of fundamental functional importance: the anti-codon, which is responsible for specific mRNA codon recognition, and the 3' end, to which the tRNAs corresponding amino acid is attached (by aminoacyl-tRNA synthetases). tRNAs cope with the degeneracy of the genetic code in two manners: having more than one tRNA (with a specific anti-codon) for a particular amino acid; and 'wobble' base-pairing, i.e. permitting non-standard base-pairing at the 3rd anti-codon position.
Source: Rfam